This 252-nucleotide ribosomal RNA is filed under the name uncultured bacterium. RNAcentral's name for it is "partial 16S ribosomal RNA". It matches the Rfam family "Bacterial small subunit ribosomal RNA", at positions 80 to 334 of the family's 1533-position model. The record is from RNAcentral.
CCAAAAGCUGGCGACCGGCGCACGGGUGAGUAACACGUAUCCAACCUGCCUCAUACUCAGGGAUAGCCUUUCGAAAGAAAGAUUAAUAUCCGAUAGCAUAUAUUUCCCGCAUGGGUUUUAUAUUAAAGAAAUUCGGUAUGAGAUGGGGAUGCGUUCCAUUAGUUUGUUGGGGGGGUAACGGCCCACCAAGACUACGAUGGAUAGGGGUUCUGAGAGGAAGGUCCCCCACAUUGGGACUGAGACACGGUCCAA